UUACAUUAAAUACAGUCUCUGACAAGAGUUUAUUAACACUGCACGGUAGUCAACAUCUUUUAGUGAUGCUGAAAGUCGUCCUACACAAUAACCCUCCCCUCUUUCGUCUCCCUCACACCAGCCACAAAGGCUUUCAAAGAGAGAGAGAGAAUCCGAAGCAGGCGCCUCUGACAGGGGGGCUCAUCUCCGGAAGCGUGAGCUCAUGACCCAAGCCGCAACUAAGAGUCGGACGCUUAACCGACUGAGCCACCCAGGUGCCCCACGUGCACAUAUUUUGAAAUGUCUUCUGGUGAACCCGAUUAUCUGUCGGCGUGGCUUAGAGAAUUCACAGACGUCACUGGCAGUCACAAGGUCACCGCCCUGGGCUCUCUGUUGUCCCAGACGUGGUGUCUGUUGGGUGGUGCUGUGCAAAGUCAAGAGCACCGGCUUUAGAUUGUUGAGUGUGGGUCCCGAGAACUGCAAAGAGCCUGGGAUUUUACUCUUCCAGCCAGCUCAUGAGUUGGCUCGCCACAAUUUCGUGGAUGCUGAUAAAAGACGGAAGAGUCCAAGCCAGCAGCCAGAAUGCCAGCGUCUCUUUACACUGGUUACAGAAGCCCCAGUAAAGCACAGGAAUUGUGAAGAGGGUAGGGCAACAUGUACACAUGGAGUAGGUUGCCUCAUAGGAGAGGAAAUUUCAGCUCAGGGAACCCAAAUAUUUUAUAAUGGGCAGUAAGCAGCACUUUGCUCUUGAGGGAGACAUUGUAUCUAUCUUCUGUAGCUGUUCAUUACACGGAUGCCUUGGAUAUCUUGCAGACUUAGAAAAAUUAGACUUUGCAUUUCUAAGACAGGAAAUCCAGGACCCCAGUUCAAAAGGGAUUAUAGCUUAAGGCAUCACUAUCAUC
Molecule: long non-coding RNA, 881 nt
Organism: Puma concolor (puma)
Lineage: Eukaryota; Metazoa; Chordata; Mammalia; Carnivora; Felidae
Source: RefSeq, a predicted model, not a curated record